This 445-nucleotide ribosomal RNA is filed under the name uncultured bacterium. RNAcentral describes it as "partial 16S ribosomal RNA". It matches the Rfam family "Bacterial small subunit ribosomal RNA", at positions 354 to 796 of the family's 1533-position model. The record is from RNAcentral.
GUGAGGAAUAUUGGUCAAUGGGCGGGAGCCUGAACCAGCCAAGUCGCGUGAAGGAAGAAGGAUCUAUGGUUCGUAAACUUCUUUUGCAGGGGAAUAAAGUGCAGGACGUGUCCUGUUUUGUAUGUACCCUGAGAAUAAGGAUCGGCUAACUCCGUGCCAGCAGCCGCGGUAAUACGGAGGAUCCGAGCGUUAUCCAGAUUUAUUGGGUUUAAAGGGUGCGUAGGUGGUUUGAUAAGUCAGCGGUGAAAGUUUGCAGCUUAACUGUAAAAAUGCCGUUGAAACUGUCGGACUUGAGUGUAAAUGAGGUAGGCGGAAUGCGUGGUGUAGCGGUGAAAUGCAUAGAUAUCACGCAGAACUCCGAUUGCGAAGGCAGCUUACUAAGCUACAACUGACACUGAAGCACGAAAGCGUGGGGAUCAAACAGGAUUAGAAACCCGAGUAGUCC